RNAcentral lists this ribosomal RNA (253 nucleotides) under uncultured bacterium. Its description in RNAcentral is "partial 16S ribosomal RNA". It matches the Rfam family "Bacterial small subunit ribosomal RNA", at positions 524 to 776 of the family's 1533-position model. The record is from RNAcentral.
UACGUAGGGUCCGAGCGUUGUCCGGAAUUAUUGGGCGUAAAGAGCUCGUAGGCGGCUCGUCGCGUCGGCUGUGAAAACCUGGGGCUCAACCCCGGGCCUGCAGCCGAUACGGGCGAGCUAGAAUUCGGUAGGGGAGACUGGAAUUCCUGGCGUAGCGGUGAAAUGCGCAGAUAUCGGGAGGAACACCGGUGGCGAAGGCGGUUCUCUGGGCCGUACCUGACGCUGAGGAGCGAAAGCGUGGGGAGCGAACAGG